This 562-nucleotide ribosomal RNA is filed under the name uncultured bacterium. Its description in RNAcentral is "partial 16S ribosomal RNA". The record is from RNAcentral.
GGAGUUAGCCGGUGCUUCUUCUGUGAGUGAUGUCCUUCCUGCCGGCUAUUAACCCGCAGGCCUUCUUCCUCACUGAAAGUGCUUUACAACCCGAAGGCCUUCUUCACACACGCGGCAUGGCUGGAUCAGGGUUGCCCCCAUUGUCCAAUAUUCCCCACUGCUGCCUCCCGUAGGAGUCUGGGCCGUGUCUCAGUCCCAGUGUGGCUGAUCAUCCUCUCAGACCAGCUACGGAUCGUCGCCUUGGUGAGCCGUUACCUCACCAACCAGCUAAUCCGACAUAGGCUCAUCCGAUAGCGCGAGGCCCGAAGGUCCCCCGCUUUCCCCCGUAGGGCGUAUGCGGUAUUAGCCUGGGUUUCCCCCAGGUUAUCCCCCGACUACCGGGCAGAUUCCUAUGCAUUACUCACCCGUCCGCCGCUCGCCACCAGGGAGCAAGCUCCCCGUGCUGCCGCUCGACUUGCAUGUGUUAGGCCUGCCGCCAGCGUUCAAUCUGAGCCCAUACGUACUAACCUAACCUCGUACGUACGUAGGACGGGCCGGUCGGUCGGAACGGACGGCGACUAAG